This is a long non-coding RNA of Monodelphis domestica (gray short-tailed opossum), 749 nucleotides long. Ensembl lists it as uncharacterized. NCBI's taxonomy places the organism in Eukaryota, Metazoa, Chordata, Mammalia, Didelphimorphia, Didelphidae. The record is from Ensembl.
CCACACCCAUACCAAGACACACUACCAAGUCGGCUGGUAUAUAAAGGCUGACGAGUUCAACCUGCUGAUUUGCACUGUUGAAGACUGAGAACACCUGAUAUCACCAGCAUGAAAUUCCCCACUCUCUCCAGCCUGCUGUGCAUACUGCUCCUGUGUUUGUUGGCCUUCUCCACAGAAGGUGCAAGACACAAUAGGAACCAGAAAGUUCACUGCUGCCAAAAGGCUGCAAACCCGAGAGGGAGAAUCAGACCAUACCACAAAUGGUGUAAAAACAAAGUCAAUUUCCCAUGUAUGACGAUCCCUGGAGCACUUCCUCAGAUAUAAAGACCCAGAACAGGAGAUCACGGGAGAAAGCGAAGACCAAGGGACCUUCUCUGACCUCCAAGUUAACAACGCUGCUCACUGGGUUUGCCCUGAAGCUCCUCACCCUCCAAAUGGGACUCAUCCCUCUUCGAGUUGAUCAUUUUGGGUGAUUCUCUGCAUCCAACUCACUAAAGGACAAACUGGCAUCUUCUCUUUUGGACUCAAUCAGCCUUUUGUCCAUGUGUUUGGUGUGCCGGUGGAAAGCUUGAGACUGGAAGCUUCCAUAGCUUUCUAUGCUAAGGACAUAAAGAACAUGGUACCUAUACCCCUCUCUAACCUCAUCACUUCUCUGCUCCUCAAUGUCUCUUCUUUAAACUAUAGUUUUUGUCAUAGUAAGGCUGUAACUAAUGAAUAAAUCAAAUUUGAAACUCCUCUGUGGCUUCUGU